Oncorhynchus tshawytscha (Chinook salmon) is the source of this 658-nucleotide long non-coding RNA. The record is from Ensembl. NCBI's taxonomy places the organism in Eukaryota, Metazoa, Chordata, Actinopteri, Salmoniformes, Salmonidae.
CCAGGUUAUAUAGUGACUCAGUGACUCACUACUGUAAUGGUCCAGGUUACAAUGUGACUCACUACUGUAAUGGUCCAGGUUACAAAGUGACUCAGUGACUCACUACUGUAAUGGUCCAGGUUACAAAGUGACUCACUACUGUAAUGGCCCAGGUUACAAAGUGACUCAGUGACUCACUACUGUAAUGGUCCAGGUUACAAAGUGACUCAGUGACUCACUACUGUAAUGGUCCAGGUUACAAAGUGACUCAGUGACUCACUACUGUAAUGGUCCAGGUUACAAAGUGACUCAGUGACUCACUACUGUAAUGGUCCAGGUUACAAAGUGACUCAGUGACUCACUACUGUAUGUGUGUGUGUGUUUGGGGGGGGUGUAUGUAUGUGUGUGUAUGUUUAUGAACUAGUUCCCUCUGCUGAGGGGGAGUGAUGCGGAACACUUAAAGUGUCGUAGCCAAUCACAGAAGAUGCCACAAUGAAUCAGUUCCUUUGUCCAUGUUCUAGGCUUCAUCUCAGGUUCUCUUUCUGGUCCAUGUUCUAGGCUUCAUCUCAGGUUCUCUUUCUGGUCCAUGUUCUAGGCUUCAUCUCAGGUUCUCUUUCUGGUGUGUCCAUGUUCUAGGUUUCAUCUCAGGUUCUCUUUCUGGUCCAUGUGUGAAUACUUG